RNAcentral lists this long non-coding RNA (2995 nucleotides) under Homo sapiens (human). RNAcentral's name for it is "non-protein coding lnc-RHOB-19:3". Lineage: Eukaryota; Metazoa; Chordata; Mammalia; Primates; Hominidae. The record is from RNAcentral.
UGUAGGAAGUGUCAUAAGGUGGGAAAGAAACUAACAUUCUCAGUGCACUUGCCAAAUGCCAGAUGUUAGGCUGAGAGUUCACUGAAGUCUUGUAACCAGAAGAACAAUGUGAUGGAAAUAGCCCCUUGGGAAAAUCACCUUGGCUGGGCUUUGUCGGGUUGGUGAGCAAAGGCUAGGGGAAGAAAUGCCACUUCAAAACCAUUUAACUCCUUGUUACUUCCAUGCUGCUUACCGGGCUAAGCACAAUGGGCUGGGCCUCAGAACUUCCCAGAGAGCUUCCCUGCCCAUGAGUUCAUCCUGCCCCCAUGCUGUCCCCACAGGGCAGAGGGAAGAAAAGAUAUGUCUUACAGACCUCCCAGUCCACAUGCCCAUUGUACAGACAGGGAAGCCAAGACCAGGGAGUGCCAAGUCUCCUGCUUCUCAGCCCAUGCUCUCUUUUCCCCUGCCAGCCCGCUGAACCUACAUGUGGCUUUCCAUGUGGGAAUCACCAAUGGUCAGGGGCUGGGGCUAGGAGCGUGGAGAGUCUCCAGAAGGCUACCAUUACCAUGGGGAGCAGCCUGGAGCUGGCCAGAGGUCAACAGGCCUUUAGAAGUUAAGCAACUCCUCAUUAGCAACGUGGGUGAGGUCCUCCGGGCCAUUACUCUGCUGUGUGUGGACGCCAAGCAGAAUGCUCUUCAGGCUAACCCAAUAUGCUGACUGCUCCGUGGAAGUCCAGGAAUGCCACCUCUAUCCCCAUGCACCUCUGCCUUCCCUCACCUGCACCCCUUCACUCUAUCAUCAAGGUUGUACAGCAUCUGCGUUGGUGACAAAGCACAGACUUAGGGCUGUUUUGGAGGCUGGAUGGGUUCUUAAAAAGAAAACAAGAAAAACACAAAACCCAUCAAAGCCACUAGAAGAGGAGGAGUUGCUGAACCUAAGAAACCAAGUUCUAGAGAUGCCGGGUCUGGUGUGAAUAAGGGAAAAAUGCAAAAAUCCAAAAGGCAAGGUCCAAGAAACAUUUCUCCCACUGAGUGUGCUAUGAAAAGAAAGGGCACAAAGAGGUGGAUGGGAAGGAACUCCAGGGUACCCACAGCCAGUAUGGGGGUUGACCUCCAGCCACCAUUAAUUUUCCUGAACAGAAUCUGAUUUUCAGUGACCCAGGAAGUGCCCCAUGACUUUCAAAAUGUUAAAUCCUACAAGAAGGAACCUCUUAUUUCUGAGCUUUGAUUACUCAUUUGUCAAAAGAGAAUAACAACCCCCACCCUACCCACUUCACAAGAGUGAGGUGGGGCCCCAUAAGGAGGAAACAAGCUCUGAGACACCAUAGGCCUUGCCUUGGCCAAUGUGGAGCGUGUCUCACUGCCUGUUAGGAUAUUUGUAUUUUAUAAAGAGAGGAGCAUGGGUUAGAAUUCUGGCUUCACACACGCUGUGUGAAUUUGGAAAAAUAACUAUUUCUCUGAGCCAACUUCCUCAUCUGUAGAAUGAGAAAGUUGAUAGCUCUCUUGAAGUUUGAGCAAAGAUUAGAAAAAUGUCUAUACAGCCUUUAGGAGAAUAUCUAGCAUAUAGAGAGCAUUCAGUAAAUGGGAGUUGUUAUAAUUCCUAACCAUGAAAAAGAGAUUCUACACACUCCUGCCUUUAGCCUUUAGAAAAGGGAAGUAGUAGAGCUCUUGGGUUGGCCAAAUAAAAACCACACACACGGGCACAUACUUUUCUGAAAGAAUUUAUUAGGCAUCCUGGGAGCAUUAAGAGCUGCUACUAUACACCGAGCCCUCUUCUAGGGUGGGCACGGUGCUCAGCACUCUGGCUUGUGUUAUGGCAUUCACAGACACUGCAGGAGGUAGAGAGGAUCCCAUCUCCAUUCUACAGAGCAGAGCGCUGUGACUCAGUGAGGUUACAGACAUUGCUUCAGGGUAUAGAAGCCACCAAGCCCUAGACCCCGGCAACCUUGCAGGUGGCUCAGGAAGAAGGCUGGGCUUUGUCCCCACCUCGCAGCUCCCAGCACACUGGAGGGUGGCGGCACACAAGCGCCCUCCAGCCUUUACCCCAGCUGGGCCAGGCAUGCCAUGGCAAUGCCCCCACCUCCAAGGUUGGCCACGGGUGAGCCUCUUCCAGGAAGUUAACAAGCACCCACCAGGCUGUCUGGCCACAGAUGAAGAAGCAGCACAAAGCUGCAUGGGCACUGGCCUGGCCUCAGCCUGGGCUCCCGAGGCCAGCAGUCACUGCCACUGGCCAACGCCCUGAGGGAUGGGGCAUUGCAGAGGAAAGCAGGGGCAUCCAACCACUGGGAGCCAGAGGGUUCUAGGAAGGCCAACCAUGGCCCACCUUUGCCUUCAGAAUCGCAGCCUACAUUUGUAUCAGCAAUGAGCUCCGGGCUCUCUGGUAUCACCCCCAGGGGUUUAACAGGCCAGGUCAGGCCUGCAAAGAUCUACGACUGCCUGGAGCUGACCACCUUAACAACCUGCUCUCCAAAGGCCAGCCCACCCAGAGGCCCAGGCUUCUCACUGCCCUGCCCCCCUUCUUCCAGGCUUCACGGCAUUGCCCUGCUGUGACACCAACAUCUCCAGCUCACUUUAGAGAAGAGAGGGAAUCGAAAACAUAUGAGCCAUGUGGAAGGGGCAAGGAGCCCACUGUUUUUGCAAUGUGCCAAAUCCACACGACAGAGGGCGCAAGCCAGAGGGCUCCAAAGAGGACUUCCUGUAGGCUGCGACCAAAAUGGGUGUGGCUGCUCAGCCCUGAGCCAGGUGACCUGCCUCUCCCAGGCAGGCCUGAGAGGUCUCUUUCCAGGUGCCGGGCCUGUCCACCUCGGUCCCCAGCAGCUCAGGGCUAGGUACUCCCAUAGCACACUUCUCCCUCCUGUCUUCUUGCCCUCUCCCAUGUCAGAGCCAGGGAAGAGAGGUCCAGGUGAGAGAGAGGGAGACACAGAGCUUCUCACCAUCAAGAAUGAGCAUGAAGAAAGACUUGCCCAAAACGUGGAACAACUUGGUGGCCACUGCCUGCCCUGACUCCCGGUCUACCA